GAGUUACUCCCUCCGACCCAUAUUACUUGUUGAAAUAUUACAUGUAUCUAGACGCUUUUUAAACAUAGAUGCAUCCAUAUUUGGGCAAAUUUGAGACAAAUAAUAUGGGUCGGAGGGAGUACUUU
Molecule: non-coding RNA, 125 nt
Organism: Brachypodium distachyon (stiff brome)
Lineage: Eukaryota; Viridiplantae; Streptophyta; Magnoliopsida; Poales; Poaceae
Source: Rfam